RNAcentral lists this ribosomal RNA (259 nucleotides) under uncultured bacterium. Its description in RNAcentral is "partial 16S ribosomal RNA". It matches the Rfam family "Bacterial small subunit ribosomal RNA", at positions 524 to 776 of the family's 1533-position model. The record is from RNAcentral.
UACAGAGGUCUCAACCGUUGUUCGGAUUCAUUGGGCGUAAAGGGUGCGUAGGUGGCAGUGUAAGUCUGAUGUGAAAGCUUCGAGCUUAACUCGAAAAUGGCAUUGGGUACUAUAUUGCUGGAGGUUUGGAGGGGGGACUGGAAUUCUCGGUGUAGCAGUGAAAUGCGUAGAUAUCGAGAGGAACACCGGUGGCGAAGGCGAGUCCCUGGACAAGGCCUGACACUGACGCUCAGGCACGAAAGCGUGGGGAGCAAACAGG